RNAcentral lists this transfer RNA (76 nucleotides) under Bifidobacterium psychraerophilum. Its description in RNAcentral is "tRNA-Glu". It matches the Rfam family "tRNA". From Rfam's summary of the family: Transfer RNA (tRNA) molecules are approximately 80 nucleotides in length. Their secondary structure includes four short double-helical elements and three loops (D, anti-codon, and T loops). Further hydrogen bonds mediate the characteristic L-shaped molecular structure. tRNAs have two regions of fundamental functional importance: the anti-codon, which is responsible for specific mRNA codon recognition, and the 3' end, to which the tRNAs corresponding amino acid is attached (by aminoacyl-tRNA synthetases). tRNAs cope with the degeneracy of the genetic code in two manners: having more than one tRNA (with a specific anti-codon) for a particular amino acid; and 'wobble' base-pairing, i.e. permitting non-standard base-pairing at the 3rd anti-codon position. The record is from RNAcentral. Lineage: Bacteria; Bacillati; Actinomycetota; Actinomycetes; Bifidobacteriales; Bifidobacteriaceae.
CCCCCAUCGUCUAGCGGCCUAGGACAUCGCCCUCUCACGGCGGUAACACCGGUUCAAAUCCGGUUGGGGGUACGAC